AAACUUCGGUCGAGUGAAGCCAUAGAGAGCGGCGGACGGGUGAGUAACGCGUAGGCAACCUGCCCCAUACAGAGGGAUAGCCUCGGGAAACCGGGAUUAAAACCUCAUAACGCAGAGAGUUCACAUGGACUAUCUGCCAAAGAUUCAUCGGUAUGGGAUGGGCCUGCGUCUGAUUAGCUAGUUGGUGAGGUAACGGCCCACCAAGGCUUGGAUGCGUAGCCGAUCUGAGAGGAUGAACGGCCACAUUGGAACUGAGACACGGUCCAGACUCCUACGGGAGGCAGCAGUAAGGAAUUUUCGGCAAUGGGGGAAACCCUGACCGAGCAACGCCGCGUGAGUGAUGAAGGUCUUCGGAUUGUAAAGCUCUGUUGUCAGGGACGAACGGUAUUCCUAGGAAAUGAGGAGUAUUUGACAGUACCUGGCCAGAAAGCCACGGCUAACUACGUGCCAGCAGCCGCGGUAAUACGUAGGUGGCAAGCGUUAUCCGGAAUUAUUGGGCGUAAAGAGUGAGCAGGCGGCAGUUUAAGUCUGAAGUGAAAGCGUGAAGCUCAACUUCAUACAGCUUCAGAAACUGAACAGCUAGAGUACGGGAGAAGUAAGUGGAACUCCAUGUGUAGCGGUGAAAUGCGUAGAUAUAUGGAAGAACACCAGUGGCGAAGGCGACUUACUAGCCCGAGACUGACGCUCAGUCACGAAAGCGUGGGUAGCAAAUAGGAUUAGAUACCCUAGUAGUCCACGCUGUAAACGAUGAAAACUAAGUAUUGCCGCGAGGCAGUGCUGUAGCUAACGCAUUAAGUUUUCCGCCUGGGGAGUACGCUCGCAAGAGUGAAACUUAAAGGAAUUGACGGGGGCCCGCACAAGCAGUGGAGCAUGUGGUUUAAUUCGACGCUACGCGAAGAACCUUACCAGGACUUGACAUGGAAUUUAAAACUCUAGAGAUAGAGCCAUAACAAGUUCACACAGGUGGUGCAUGGUUGUCGUCAGCUCGUGUCGUGAGAUG
RNAcentral lists this ribosomal RNA (1000 nucleotides) under uncultured bacterium. Its description in RNAcentral is "bacterial SSU rRNA". It matches the Rfam family "Bacterial small subunit ribosomal RNA", at positions 70 to 1074 of the family's 1533-position model. The record is from RNAcentral.